UGCGUAGGCGGUGCGGUAAGUCUUCUGUGAAACCUCCGGGCUUAACUCGGAGCCUGCAGGGGAAACUGCCGUGCUGGAGUAUGGGAGAGGUGAGUGGAAUUCCCGGUGUAGCGGUGAAAUGCGUAGAUAUCGGGGGGAACACCUGUGGCGAAAGCGGCUCACUGGACCAUUACUGACGCUGAAGCACGAAAGCUAGGGGAGCAAACAGGAUUAGAUACCCUGGUAGUCCUAGCCCUAAACGAUGAUCGCUUGGUGUGACAGGUACCCAAUCCUGUCGUGCCGGAGCUAACGCGUUAAGCGAUCCGCCUGGGGAGUACGGUCGCAAGGCUGAA
Molecule: ribosomal RNA, 332 nt
Filed under: uncultured bacterium
Lineage: Bacteria
Description: bacterial SSU rRNA
Rfam family: Bacterial small subunit ribosomal RNA
Source: RNAcentral